Molecule: unclassified non-coding RNA, 400 nt
Filed under: soil metagenome
Description: partial contains 5.8S ribosomal RNA, internal transcribed spacer 2, and large subunit ribosomal RNA
Rfam family: 5.8S ribosomal RNA (bases 3-122)
Source: RNAcentral
GCUGAAGAACGUAGCGAAAUGCGAUACUUGGUGUGAAUUGCAGAAUCCCGUGAACCAUCGAGUCUUUGAACGCAAGUUGCGCCUCAAGCCAUUAGGUUGAGGGCACGUCUGCCUGGGCGUCACAUAUCGUUGCCUGAUGCCAGUUUCCUCGUGAUGGGUGACUGUGCAGGGCGAAUGAUGGCUUCCCGUGAGCAUUGUUGCCUCAUGGUGGGUUGAAAAUUGAGUCCUUGGUAGGGAGCGCCGUGAUAGAUGGUGGUUGAGUGACGAACGAGACCCAAUCAUGUGAGACCCCUACCGAAUUUGGCCUUCAUGACCCACAUGCGUCUUUGGAACGCUCAUGACGAGACCUCAGGUCAGGCGGGGCUACCCGCUGAGUUUAAGCAUAUCAAUAAGCGGAGGA